UCCAGACUCCUACGGGAGGCAGCAGUGGGGAAUAUUGCACAAUGGGGGAAACCCUGAUGCAGCGACGCCGCGUGAAGGAAGAAGUAUUUCGGUAUGUAAACUUCUCUCAGCAGGGAAGAAAAUGACGGUACCUGACUAAGAAGCCCCGGCUAACUACGUGCCAGCAGCCGCGGUAAUACGUAGGGGGCAAGCGUUAUCCGGAUUUACUGGGUGUAAAGGGAGCGUAGGCGGUUUAGCAAGUCAGAAGUGAAAGCCCGGGGCUCAACUCCGGGACUGCUUUUGAAACUGUUGAACUAGAUUGCAGGAGAGGUAAGUGGAAUUCCUAGUGUAGCGGUGAAAUGCGUAGAUAUACGGAGGAACACCAGUGGCGAAGGCGGAUUGCUGGACAGUAACUGACGCUGAGGCGCGAAAGCGUGGGGAGCAAACAGGAUUAGAUACCCUAGUA
RNAcentral lists this ribosomal RNA (445 nucleotides) under uncultured bacterium. RNAcentral's name for it is "bacterial SSU rRNA". It matches the Rfam family "Bacterial small subunit ribosomal RNA", at positions 330 to 792 of the family's 1533-position model. The record is from RNAcentral.